GUACUGCUGAAGAGUCCAAAAUUUGGACGAAACAGCUGUCCAAUAC
This is a non-coding RNA of Trichobilharzia regenti, 46 nucleotides long. The record is from Rfam. NCBI's taxonomy places the organism in Eukaryota, Metazoa, Platyhelminthes, Trematoda, Strigeidida, Schistosomatidae.